GAUGAAGAACGCAGCGAAAUGCGAUAAGUAAUGUGAAUUGCAGAAUUCAGUGAAUCAUCGAAUCUUUGAACGCACAUUGCGCCCCCUGGUAUUCCGGGGGGCAUGCCUGUUCGAGCGUCAUUUCACCACUCAAGCCUCGCUUGGUAUUGGGCAACGCGGUCCGCCGCGUGCCUCAAAUCGACCGGCUGGGUCUUCUGUCCCCUAAGCGUUGUGGAAACUAUUCGCUAAAGGGUGUUCGGGAGGCUACGCCGUAAAACAACCCCAUUUCUAAGGUUGACCUCGGAUCAGGUAGGGAUACCCGCUGAACUUAAGCAUAUCCAAUAAGCGGAGGA
RNAcentral lists this unclassified non-coding RNA (332 nucleotides) under soil metagenome. RNAcentral describes it as "partial contains 5.8S ribosomal RNA, internal transcribed spacer 2, and large subunit ribosomal RNA". The stretch from base 1 to 120 matches the Rfam family "5.8S ribosomal RNA", at positions 35 to 154 of the family's 154-position model. The record is from RNAcentral.